UGCGUAGGUGGCCGGGUAAGUCCGAUGUGAAAUCUCCGAGCCUAACUCGGAAACUGCAUCGGAUACUAUUCGGCUGGAGGGUUGGAGGGGGGACGUGGAAUACUUGGUGUAGCAGUGAAAUGCGUAGAUAUCAAGUGGAACACCAGUGGCGAAGGCGAGUCCCUGGACAACUCCUGACACUGAGGCACGAAAGCUAGGGGAGCAAACA
This 208-nucleotide ribosomal RNA is filed under the name uncultured bacterium. RNAcentral's name for it is "partial 16S ribosomal RNA". It matches the Rfam family "Bacterial small subunit ribosomal RNA", at positions 568 to 774 of the family's 1533-position model. The record is from RNAcentral.